AUUGAACGCUGGCGGCAGGCCUAACACAUGCAAGUCGAGCGGUAGAGAGAAGCUUGCUUCUCUUGAGAGCGGCGGACGGGUGAGUAAUGCCUAGGAAUCUGCCUGGUAGUGGGGGAUAACGUUCGGAAACGGACGCUAAUACCGCAUACGUCCUACGGGAGAAAGCAGGGGACCUUCGGGCCUUGCGCUAUCAGAUGAGCCUAGGUCGGAUUAGCUAGUUGGUGGGGUAAUGGCUCACCAAGGCGACGAUCCGUAACUGGUCUGAGAGGAUGAUCAGUCACACUGGAACUGAGACACGGUCCAGACUCCUACGGGAGGCAGCAGUGGGGAAUAUUGGACAAUGGGCGAAAGCCUGAUCCAGCCAUGCCGCGUGUGUGAAGAAGGUCUUCGGAUUGUAAAGCACUUUAAGUUGGGAGGAAGGGCAGUAAAUUAAUACGUUGCUGUUUUGACGGUACCGACAGAAUAAGCACCGGCUAACUCUGUG
RNAcentral lists this ribosomal RNA (484 nucleotides) under uncultured bacterium. Its description in RNAcentral is "partial 16S ribosomal RNA". It matches the Rfam family "Bacterial small subunit ribosomal RNA", at positions 30 to 507 of the family's 1533-position model. The record is from RNAcentral.